AGUGUCUGGGGUUUCCUCUGCCUUUUUUUCCAAUGAAAAUAACGAAACCUCUUAUUUCCCAUUGAGGGGGAAAAAGGCGGGAGAAGCCCCGGCAGGACUGAAGCUGCUCCU
Molecule: microRNA precursor, 111 nt
Filed under: Pongo pygmaeus (Bornean orangutan)
Lineage: Eukaryota; Metazoa; Chordata; Mammalia; Primates; Hominidae
Also listed under: 1 other name
Description: microRNA ppy-mir-4484 precursor
Rfam family: mir-4484 microRNA precursor family (bases 5-93)
Source: miRBase by way of RNAcentral